Molecule: ribosomal RNA, 460 nt
Filed under: uncultured bacterium
Lineage: Bacteria
Description: partial 16S ribosomal RNA
Rfam family: Bacterial small subunit ribosomal RNA
Source: RNAcentral
CCUACGGGUGGCAGCAGUGAGGAAUAUUGGUCAAUGGACGAGAGUCUGAACCAGCCAAGUAGCGUGAAGGAUGACUGCCCUAUGGGUUGUAAACUUCUUUUAUAUGGGAAUAAAACGUUCCACGUGUGGGAUUUUGUAUGUACCAUAUGAAUAAGGAUCGGCUAACUCCGUGCCAGCAGCCGCGGUCAUACGGAGGAUCCGAGCGUUAUCCGGAUUUAUUGGGUUUAAAGGGAGCGUAGGUGGAUUGUUAAGUCAGUUGUGAAAGUUUGCGGCUCAACCGUAAAAUUGCAGUUGAAACUGGCAGUCUUGAGUACAGUAGAGGUGGGCGGAAUUCGUGGUGUAGCGGUGAAAUGCUUAGAUAUCACGAAGAACUCCGAUUGCGAAGGCAGUUCACUGGACUGCAACUGACACUGAGGCUCGAAAGUGUGGGUAUCAAACAGGAUUAGAUACCCCAGUAGUC